This is a non-coding RNA of Xylaria curta, 98 nucleotides long. Lineage: Eukaryota; Fungi; Ascomycota; Sordariomycetes; Xylariales; Xylariaceae. The record is from the annotation of a GenBank genome assembly.
UCCGAAUUGGUGUAGUGGCCAACAUUUGACGCUCUCAUAAAAGCUUUCACACCUUAAUCAGUGCCGUCAAGCCCGGGGUUCGAUUCCCCGAUUCGGAG